This 114-nucleotide ribosomal RNA is filed under the name uncultured bacterium. RNAcentral describes it as "partial 16S ribosomal RNA". It matches the Rfam family "Bacterial small subunit ribosomal RNA", at positions 1369 to 1482 of the family's 1533-position model. The record is from RNAcentral.
CGUUCCCGGGCCUUGUACACACCGCCCGUCACACCACGAAAGUCAGCAACACCCGAAGCCAGUGGCCCAACCGUAAGGAAGGAGCCGUCGGAGGUGGGGUCGGUGAUUGGGGUG